RNAcentral lists this ribosomal RNA (642 nucleotides) under Mycobacterium sp. RB3-12B. RNAcentral's name for it is "bacterial SSU rRNA". It matches the Rfam family "Bacterial small subunit ribosomal RNA", at positions 61 to 720 of the family's 1533-position model. The record is from RNAcentral. Lineage: Bacteria; Bacillati; Actinomycetota; Actinomycetes; Mycobacteriales; Mycobacteriaceae.
GUCGAACGGAAAGGCCCUUCGGGGUACUCGAGUGGCGAACGGGUGAGUAACACGUGGGUGAUCUGCCCUGCACUUUGGGAUAAGCCUGGGAAACUGGGUCUAAUACCGAAUAGGACCACGCGCUUCAUGGUGUGUGGUGGAAAGCUUUUGCGGUGUGGGAUGGGCCCGCGGCCUAUCAGCUUGUUGGUGGGGUAAUGGCCUACCAAGGCGACGACGGGUAGCCGGCCUGAGAGGGUGACCGGCCACACUGGGACUGAGAUACGGCCCAGACUCCUACGGGAGGCAGCAGUGGGGAAUAUUGCACAAUGGGCGCAAGCCUGAUGCAGCGACGCCGCGUGAGGGAUGACGGCCUUCGGGUUGUAAACCUCUUUCAAUAGGGACGAAGCGCAAGUGACGGUACCUAUAGAAGAAGCACCGGCCAACUACGUGCCAGCAGCCGCGGUAAUACGUAGGGUGCGAGCGUUGUCCGGAAUUACUGGGCGUAAAGAGCUCGUAGGUGGUUUGUCGCGUUGUUCGUGAAAACUCACAGCUUAACUGUGGGCGUGCGGGCGAUACGGGCAGACUAGAGUACUGCAGGGGAGACUGGAAUUCCUGGUGUAGCGGUGGAAUGCGCAGAUAUCAGGAGGAACACCGGUGGCGAAG